RNAcentral lists this ribosomal RNA (76 nucleotides) under Xepicula leucotricha. RNAcentral's name for it is "partial 18S ribosomal RNA". Lineage: Eukaryota; Fungi; Ascomycota; Sordariomycetes; Hypocreales; Stachybotryaceae. The record is from RNAcentral.
GCGGGCUUAGCCCCCGCGCCCUCCGGGGCGCCGGGAAACAGGCGCCCGCCGGAGACCCAAACUCAAUGUUUUUCAU